Molecule: long non-coding RNA, 2596 nt
Organism: Trachemys scripta elegans
Lineage: Eukaryota; Metazoa; Chordata; Testudines; Emydidae
Exons: 2
Source: RefSeq, a predicted model, not a curated record
AGAAAAUAUUUAAAUGAUAAUAAUGUAUUCAGUGCUGUACAAGAUGUAGUUUCACAGUCCUCACUCUGAGGAGGGUACACUUGACAAGACAGAUACAGGUAAAAAGAUACAUUCAUGUAGGAAAAUGAAAGGUUAUACAACUAGGAACAAACAAUGUUGGCCACAUUCAUAGGUUGUAGGAUUGUGUUCUGUAAAUGUGACUUACAUUCUUUGUUCUUAGAUGUAUAACUUGUGAUUCUGAAAAGGAUGUGGGGUCACAGUGAAUAAAUAGAGGUUUCUUACCCUGUGCAGUAACUGAAGUUCUGUGAGAUGUGUUCCUCUAUAGGUGCUCCACUCUUGAUUGGAGAUUUUCAUUAGCAGUGUCUGUUCGGCCCACGCACAUGCCGUUGGUAUCCUCAUGCCCUGCACCGAGGCUAUGUCAAAUUGCACAGGCAAACCACUCCCUCAGUUCCUUCUGCACGACUGAGUCUCAGAAGAAACUCCAAAGCAGAGGGGAAGGAGGGUGGGUAGUUGAGCACCCAUGGGGGAUACAUCUUGAAGAACUACAGUUACUGCACAGGUUGAGUAACCUCUCUUUCAUCUUUGAGUAGGGUCCCUAUGGGUGAUCCAUCCUUGGUGACUCCCAAGAAGUAUUCCCAGAAGGAGGAGUGGGGGCAUUCGGAAUGGAGUCCAUCACAGAGGCGAGAACUGCCUUGCCAAAUGUAGUGUCAGAUCUGGAGGCAUCAACCAGGACAUUGUGUCUAGAGAGAAGACAUGCACCAGAGACCAUGUAGCGGCUCUGCAGACCUCUGAAAUAGGAACAUUUUUAAGGAGAGCCAUAGAGGUAGAUUGUGAUCUAGUCAAGUGCACCGGUAGAGAUGGACUGUCGAUACUAUAGUAGCAUACUACAAUACACUUGGAAAUCCAUUUAGAAAGUCUCUGGGUAGAAAUGGCAGACCUGUCUGCAAUCAAAACAAAGAGUCCAGUGGAUUUACGAAAUGGUUUAGUUCUAUCCAGAAAGAAGGAUAAUGCCCUCCUGACAUCUAGAGUUGGAAGUAUGUGGUUUGGGAAAGAAAACUGGUAGGUAUAUGAUCUGUUUCAGAUGAAAUUCGGAAGUUACUUUAGGUAGAAACCUGAUCCUUGUAGAAUAUUGUGAAGCGGGGGAGGAGGUCUGCCAUUAAGGCCCCAAUCUCUCUGACUCCGCAGUGUGAGUUAAUAGUCACUAGGAAGGCUGUUUUACUAGAUAAAUCCAAUAAGGAGCAGGUGAACGUCAGUUCAACAAGAUUUUCUGAGGCUUUUGAGAAACAAGUUCAGGUCCCAGGCAGGGGUAGGAACCUUUAUCUCUGGGAAGACAUUCCCCAGACCUUUUAUAAAUCUUGCGUUUGUGAGGUGAGGAAACAGAGAAAAACCCUCAAUAGUAGUCUGAAAGGAUGUUAGGGCCACCAGACGAACCUUGAGGGAAUUAUGGGACAUCCUGAUUUCUUAAGAUAUAGCAGGUGCUUGAGGAUGAACGGAAGCGGGGCAGAUUCGGGAGCAGCAUUGUGGAGUUCACAUCAGUGGCCAAAUUUUUGUCUACUUUUGAAGGUAAGUAGUUCUGGUGGGAACUUUUCUACUAUUUAAUAGUAUGUGUUAUAUCUCACAGAGCAGAAUGACUCUAGCCCCAUGAACCAUCAAGGAACGACCUUUCAGGCAAAGAAUUCCCAAGUCGGGAUGCAUCAGAGGACCAGAGUGCUGGGAGAGGAAAUUAGCAGUUGGGAGAUUUAUCAGCUAGAGAGCAAGAUGAAACAGAGGGAAGGUGAUCUUGCCUCUUCGUGCCUCUUGAUAUAAAACAAGCAAGCCAUGUUGUCUGUCAUGACUUUGAUGGAUCUGUGUCUGAUGAGAGGAAGGAAAUGAAGACAGGAAUUUCCGACAGCUCUGAUCUCCAGACGGUUGAUAUAGAGGGUGGUCUCAGGCUGACCAUCUGCCCUGGAUUGUUAGAGAGCCAAGAUGCACCCCUCUGUUCUCUCUGAUCCAAACAGAAAUGUAUCCGUGGUUAUGGUUACUGUCGACACCCGUUAGAGGAAGGGGACCCCUGUCCCUACACUGUGAUGAAUCUUCCACCAAUCUAGGGAAUAUUUUACAUGCUGGGGGACCAACACCUACUUGCCUAGACUCUGUCUGUUUGGUGAAUAAACUGUUCUGAGACACCCCUGGAAAAAGCAGAGGCGUAACCUCACAUGCUGUAUCAUGAAGGUGACCCAGAAGUUGAAGGUCUGGGGGCUAUCCCGAGUCAUUUUGACAAGGCUUGAUAAAGUCCGGAAUCUCUCCAAGGGAAGAGAUGCCAUGGAUGUUAGGGAAUCCAAGGGCACCCCUAUGAAUUGUAUGUCCUGAACGGGAUUUAGUGUUAAUUUUUCCAUGUUCAGCUGAAGGCACAGGUCCAAAAAGAGAGUGAACACUGUCCUUGGGGCAGAAAACACUUCUUGGUAGGAUCAACCCCGAGUAGCCAAUAGUUGAAGUAUGGGAAUACCAUGAUAGCCUGAUGACGUAGAUACUGACACUACUGACAAAACCUUUGAGAACAUUCUCGGAGCCGAGGAGAGGCUGAAGGGGAACACGCAAUACUGAAAACCCGAACCAC